AGCGAACGCUGGCGGCAGGCCUAACACAUGCAAGUCGAACGAACCUUUCGGGGUUAGUGGCGGACGGGUGAGUAACACGUGGGAACGUGCCUUUAGGUUCGGAAUAACUCAGGGACACUUGUGCUAAUACCGAAUGUGCCCUUCGGGGGAAAGAUUUAUCGCCUUUAGAGCGGCCCGCGUCUGAUUAGCUAGUUGGUUGAGGUAAUGGCUCACCAAGGCGACGAUCAGUAGCUGGUAUGAGAGGAUGAUCAGCCACAUUGGGACUGAGACACGGCCCAAACUCCUACGGGAGGCAGCAGUGGGGAAUCUUGCGCAAUGGGCGAAAGCCUGACGCAGCCAUGCCGCGUGAAUGAUGAAGGUCUUAGGAUUGUAAAAUUCUUUCACCGGUGACGAUAAUGACGGUACCCGGAGAAGAAGCCCCGGCUAACUUCGUG
This 434-nucleotide ribosomal RNA is filed under the name uncultured bacterium. RNAcentral describes it as "partial 16S ribosomal RNA". It matches the Rfam family "Bacterial small subunit ribosomal RNA", at positions 29 to 507 of the family's 1533-position model. The record is from RNAcentral.